Molecule: long non-coding RNA, 777 nt
Organism: Trachemys scripta elegans
Lineage: Eukaryota; Metazoa; Chordata; Testudines; Emydidae
Exons: 3
Source: RefSeq, a predicted model, not a curated record
CCUCACCUUCUGGAUGGCGGCCGGCGUGAUCUCGCCCUUCCCCCGCUGCCUCGGUGCCGCGAAUGCCACCGACAUGUCGGGUCCCUGCGCGCAGCAGGCUCCAGCGCCCUGGCCGCGGACGAAGCAGCGGCAGGAGGAGGUCUACUUUUGGAGUUUACUCCCUUUAUUGUUAAGAGGAUUUUGAGCUUUUACAUAUUUUGGAUGAAAGUGAUGGAUCACUUAUUAUAAGCAAAUCAGAAAAGGUACACAUGGGAUGGCAUCUGCUACCAAGUACUGCUGUAGCAAGGUCUUGGUGACUUGCUUCCUCCUUUGAAAAACAAUAACGCUGUCACAGAGAAGCCUUUCCUGCAGAAAUGGCUCCAGGCACCCUUUCCCCUUUAUGAGCUAUCAUUGGCCUUCUGAAGAAUCAUCACCAUUAACAAGAGAGGAACAAACUUUGAAUUACCACAGGACGUGAUUCCUGCUUUGCCAGCACUCAUCAGCAAUAUGCAGCUGCAAGAUGGAGUCAGAAUGAUACCAGAUAUAAGUUUUCUGUCAGAGGGCCUGAUCCUGAAUGCAGAGCAUCUGCAAUUCCCACUAAAGCUGAGUAUCACCAUCACCAAAAACACUAUGAUCAAGAUUCAGAAAGGGAGCACAGCUCAUUUCUUAUGAUCUUAUGAGUAUUGGUAAAAAUUAAGAAUUCACAAAGCUUUUAUGCAGGUUUGUAUUGGCUUACAGGGAAAUCUCCCAGGAAGCCUCAGGACUUGGAGACCCCAAAACCCAUCCAUUAACUGGGAG